UACGUAGGGUGCGAGCGUUGUCCGGAAUUACUGGGCGUAAAGAGCUCGUAGGUGGUUUGUCGCGUUGUUCGUGAAAACCGGGGGCCUAACCCUCGGCGUGCGGGCGAUACGGGCAGACUUGAGUACUGCAGGGGAGACUGGAAUUCCUGGUGUAGCGGUGGAAUGCGCAGAUAUCAGGAGGAACACCGGUGGCGAAGGCGGGUCUCUGGGCAGUAACUGACGCUGAGGAGCGAAAGCGUGGGGAGCAAACAGG
RNAcentral lists this ribosomal RNA (253 nucleotides) under uncultured bacterium. Its description in RNAcentral is "partial 16S ribosomal RNA". It matches the Rfam family "Bacterial small subunit ribosomal RNA", at positions 524 to 776 of the family's 1533-position model. The record is from RNAcentral.